This 79-nucleotide ribosomal RNA is filed under the name Staphylococcus chromogenes. The record is from RNAcentral. Lineage: Bacteria; Bacillati; Bacillota; Bacilli; Caryophanales; Staphylococcaceae.
UUUGGUGACAAUAGCAAAGAGGUCACACCUGUUCCCAUGCCGAACACAGAAGUUAAGCUCUUUAGCGCCGAUGGUAGUC